UACGUAGGGUGCGAGCGUUGUCCGGAAUUAUUGGGCGUAAAGAGCUCGUAGGCGGUUUGUUGCGUCUAUCGUGAAAACCUGCAGCUUAACUGUGGGCUUGCGGUCGAUACGGGCAUCACUGGAGUUCGGCAGGGGAGACUGGAAUUCCUGGUGUAGCGGUGAAAUGCGCAGAUAUCAGGAGGAACACCGGUGGCGAAGGCGGGUCUCUGGGCCGAUACUGACGCUGAGGAGCGAAAGCGUGGGGAGCGAACAGG
RNAcentral lists this ribosomal RNA (254 nucleotides) under uncultured bacterium. RNAcentral describes it as "partial 16S ribosomal RNA". It matches the Rfam family "Bacterial small subunit ribosomal RNA", at positions 524 to 776 of the family's 1533-position model. The record is from RNAcentral.